RNAcentral lists this transfer RNA (73 nucleotides) under Felis catus (domestic cat). It matches the Rfam family "tRNA". From Rfam's summary of the family: Transfer RNA (tRNA) molecules are approximately 80 nucleotides in length. Their secondary structure includes four short double-helical elements and three loops (D, anti-codon, and T loops). Lineage: Eukaryota; Metazoa; Chordata; Mammalia; Carnivora; Felidae. RNAcentral also lists the same sequence under 1 other name. The record is from Rfam by way of RNAcentral.
GCCUGGCUGGUUCAUUUGGUAGAGCACGCAACUCUUGAUUUUGGGGUUGUGAGUUCAAGCCCCACGUUGGGCA